GGAAAGAAAAGGAAUGAAGGAGGGAAGGGAUUUUGCUUAUAUGUUUAAUAAAUGCCAAAGGGUCAUCUUGGACACUUCGUUUUAUAGUCAAGAACCUGCACAGGCCUACAAAUAACGCAAGGACAGGCUUGGGCUCCUGAGGAGAGAGCUCUGGGUAAUGAGCUGCCCUAUGGGAGGAAAGGAUAGUCCUGCCGAACCAGCAUCAGUCUCCAGGUAAGGUGUUCACACCUUCGAAGAUCACUUUACAUGGAUCGUCCUCAUGUAAGUAAGUGCGGUUAACAAGUAGAAGAAGGGUGAAGAUGGCCAAUGAAAACAGUGAGAAAUGCCAAACUACCCCCUGUUGGAAGUGGUUGAAGAAGAUGGGCAUACUUAACCAAGAAAAGAGGGAAAAACAGAACCAGGAGAACAAUGGCUGUACUCAAAGGAGUGGCUGCAAACAGAAGAAAAAAGAAAGACAAGAGGAAGGAAGGUCAGCCUGUUCCAGUAUGGCCCACAGCCAGUGUUCUAUGGCUAAAAAGUCACCUUUCUAUAGAAAUAGUGGCCAAGAUGAGGGGCUGAUGCCCAGAAGAAUCUUAAUCAUCCUAUAGCUGACAACUUCCCAAGG
This 604-nucleotide long non-coding RNA is filed under the name Fukomys damarensis (Damara mole-rat). Its description in RNAcentral is "lncRNA (ENSFDAG00000028044.1)". Lineage: Eukaryota; Metazoa; Chordata; Mammalia; Rodentia; Bathyergidae. The record is from RNAcentral.